GACGAACGCUGGCGGCGUGCUUAACACAUGCAAGUCGGACGGAAAGGCCCUGCUUUUGUGGGGUGCUCGAGUGGCGAACGGGUGAGUAACACGUGAGUAACCUGCCCUUGACUUUGGGAUAACUUCAGGAAACUGGGGCUAAUACCGGAUAGGAGCUCCUGCUGCAUGGUGGGGGUUGGAAAGUUUCGGCGGUUGGGGAUGGACUCGCGGCUUAUCAGCUUGUUGGUGGGGUAGUGGCUUACCAAGGCUUUGACGGGUAGCCGGCCUGAGAGGGUGACCGGCCACAUUGGGACUGAGAUACGGCCCAGACUCCUACGGGAGGCAGCAGUGGGGAAUAUUGCACAAUGGGCGGAAGCCUGAUGCAGCAACGCCGCGUGCGGGAUGACGGCCUUCGGGUUGUAAACCGCUUUCGCCUGUGACGAAGCGUGAGUGACGGUAAUGGGUAAAGAAGCACCGGCUAACUACGU
Molecule: ribosomal RNA, 467 nt
Filed under: uncultured bacterium
Lineage: Bacteria
Description: partial 16S ribosomal RNA
Rfam family: Bacterial small subunit ribosomal RNA
Source: RNAcentral